CUUCACUCUCUAACAGGCAGCCACCUGCCUGGCAUGCUUUGGCCACCUGUCGGCCUGCCCAGCUGUGUAAAUUGCACUGCAAUCAGCAUGGCAAGGCAGCUUGAAGGAGGUACCGCUUGGUGCCUGCAGAUUACUUGUGUAACAUGUUUUCAAGUCAUUGACUUUUACAUUGCAAACAAAGUCUUUUUAUUUGACCUUUUAAAUGCUCUGUUGCAAAAUGUGCAGGAGUACAGUGACAGCACAUAUGUGGAAAUUGCUUUCAUGCUGAUUUUUGGGCACUUUGUAACGCCUGCCGGGUGUUGGACAAGUCGUACAGGUGCACAGAUCCCUGCCUUCUCACAGGAACACAGAGGAGUGAGUUACUCUGCCAGAGCACGCGAGACAGCCACAGCUGCACGAGGCACUGGCUCCCCGUCUGACAGCGUGGGAGAGGCUGUUCCCUGCUUCGCGGCACCAUGAAAGAGCAAAACCCAGCUCCUGUGGUGUUGGGACUGCAGGAGGAAGAUAUCUUAGAUAUCUGCCCAUGGCAGAGACCCGCUGCUCCUGACGCACAGGGCCUGGGGACUUCUGGAGUUCUGCAGAGGCCUGGCGGGUGGCAGCAGUCGCCUUGCUCGGGGGCACUCCGGUGUCCCGUGCCAUCCCCACAGCCAGGGGCCCUGGUCCCGUGCCAUCUCCUGGCCAGAGGCCCUGGCUGCAGCCCCAUGUCCCGUCCCAUUCCCACAGCCCCGGCUGCAGCCCCAUCAUCACCAGCGGCGUGCCGGCCAUUUCCUGCUUCACGUGGCUGUGCAGCAGCUGUGGCUGAGCAUUCCAACAGGGUGUUUCAAGUUAUUUUUGAAGAGCUACAUGACUACUGAGGGGCUUACGUGGCAGAAAUUAUGGAGUGAAUAAAUGAAUCACUGGUGGGUUUGAGUUUUAAAUU
This 919-nucleotide long non-coding RNA is filed under the name Anas platyrhynchos platyrhynchos (common mallard). RNAcentral's name for it is "lncRNA (ENSAPLG00000019913.1)". Lineage: Eukaryota; Metazoa; Chordata; Aves; Anseriformes; Anatidae. The record is from RNAcentral.